RNAcentral lists this ribosomal RNA (208 nucleotides) under uncultured Peptococcaceae bacterium. Its description in RNAcentral is "partial 16S ribosomal RNA". It matches the Rfam family "Bacterial small subunit ribosomal RNA", at positions 568 to 774 of the family's 1533-position model. Lineage: Bacteria; Bacillati; Bacillota; Clostridia; Eubacteriales; Peptococcaceae. The record is from RNAcentral.
CGUGUAGGCGGCCUAAUAAGUUAGAAGUGAAACCUAUCGGCUCAACUGAUAGCCUGCUUCUAAAACUGCUAAGCUUGAGUGCAGAAGAGGGGGAGUGGAAUUCCCAGUGUAGCGGUGAAAUGCGUAGAUAUUGGGAGGAACACCAGUGGCGAAAGCGGCUCCCUGGUCUGUAACUGACGCUGAGGCGCGAAAGCGUGGGUAGCAAACA